Molecule: unclassified non-coding RNA, 249 nt
Filed under: plant metagenome
Description: partial contains small subunit ribosomal RNA, internal transcribed spacer 1, and 5.8S ribosomal RNA
Rfam family: 5.8S ribosomal RNA (bases 201-249)
Source: RNAcentral
UCUCCGUAGGUGAACCUGCGGAGGAAUCAUUACAGAGUUCAUGCCCUACCGGGUAGAUCUCCCACCCUAUGUUAUUAUUACUUUGUUGCUUUGGCGGGCCGUUAGGCUCCGGCCCGACUACCGGCCCCGGCUGGUAAGCGCCCGCCAGAGGACCCAAAACCCUGAAUAUUAGUGUCGUCUGAGUACUAUAUAAUAGUUAAAACUUUCAACAACGGAUCUCUUGGUUCUGACAUCGAUGAAGAACGCAGC